Bufo gargarizans (Asiatic toad) is the source of this 641-nucleotide long non-coding RNA. RefSeq lists it as uncharacterized. The transcript has 3 exons. Lineage: Eukaryota; Metazoa; Chordata; Amphibia; Anura; Bufonidae. The record is from RefSeq and is a predicted model, not a curated record.
CACAGCCUUACAUUUUGGUAUUAUAGGACUCUCUAGGUGAGAUGAGAAUUUGACUACAGGAACGAAACAGCCAACAAUAAAGUAAUACAUGAUUUGACAUUUUCCUGAUGGAAUUUGAAGAAUGUCAAUUUAUACCAUCACUUCAUUGAAAGCAGCGGAAAUAAAACACCCUGCAAUGUUCUUCAACAUGUGUUACCUUCUCUUGCUGUUUCAAAACCUGCCAGACAACGCAAUUGAAACCAUAUUCUUUGUAUCUGAGUACACUGCCUCCAUGAUCCACAUCAUACAGUGUUCAACUUCAUCCUGACCCAUGGACAUUAAUUAAAACAAAUAAAGCUUGGACAGCAGUGAUAAAAGCCCCUCACAAUAACCUUAAAGGAGUUAUUCCAUGAAAAAUGUUGUACAUUGUGUAAAACACCACAUGGAUCUGAAUACAGUUACAGGGAAAGAGCUGCAGCAGAAAGAACAUGCCUCCUGAGAAAGGACACGCCCCCUGAGCUGCCAGCCUGGAGAGAAUCUAGCAGAGCAACUGGAGCAAUGAAAACUGAGAUCCUUAGUUCUAUGGGGGGUACAGGACUGCUUUUUAGCUUUGUUAGAAAGAGAUUGUCAUGUAUAGAGAUGAGCAAAUUUGUCUAAUAUUU